Molecule: ribosomal RNA, 389 nt
Filed under: uncultured eukaryote
Lineage: Eukaryota
Also listed under: 1 other name
Description: SSU rRNA
Rfam family: Eukaryotic small subunit ribosomal RNA
Source: RNAcentral
AGCUCCAAUAGCGUAUAUUAAAGUUGCUGCAGUUAAAAAGCUCGUAGUUGGAUUUCUGGCCUGGCGUGCCUGGCCCGCCAGCGUUAGCUGUGUGAGUGUCGGGACGCGCCUGCCAUCCUUCUGGAGAACAUACGUACCUUUCAUUAGGCCGCGUAUGCCAUCCAGAUCUUUUACUUUGAAAAAAUUAGAGUGUUUAAAGCAGGCUUUUGCUAUGAAUACAUUAGCAUGGAAUAAUAAUUUAGGACUUCGGUUCUAUUUUGUUGGUUUCUAGAACUGAAGUAAUGAUUGAUAGGGAUAGUUGGGGGUGCUAGUAUUCAGUGGCCAGAGGUGAAAUUCUUGGAUUCACUGAAGACUAACUUAUGCGAAAGCAUUCACCAAGGAUGUCUUCU